UAGGGAAUAUUGGGCAAUGGGCGAAAGCCUGACCCAGCCACGCCGCGUGUGUGGUGGAGGCCUUCGGGUCGUAAAGCACUGUGGGGAGGGACGAACAUACGCAUGAGGAAAUGCUUGCGUACUGACGGUACCUCCUUAGCAAGCACCGGCUAACUCUGUGCCAGCAGCCGCGGUAAUACAGAGGGUGCAAACGUUGCUCGGAUUUACUGGGCGUAAAGCGCGUGUAGGCGGACUCGCAAGUCGGUUGUGAAAUCCCUGGGCUCAACCUAGGAACUGCAUCCGAAACUGCUUGUCUUGAGUAAUGGAGAGGGUGGCGGAAUUCCCGGUGUAGAGGUGAAAUUCGUAGAUAUCGGGAGGAACAUCAGUGGCGAAGGCGGCCACCUGGACAUUUACUGCCGCUGAGACGCGAAAGCGUGGGGAGCGAACAGGAUUAGAUACCCUGGUAGUCCACGCUGUAAACGAUGAUUACUCGGUGUUGGCGAUAUACAGUCAGUGCCUAAGCGAAAGUGAUAAGUAAUCCACCUGGGGAGUACGGUCGCAAGAUUG
This 546-nucleotide ribosomal RNA is filed under the name uncultured bacterium. Its description in RNAcentral is "bacterial SSU rRNA". It matches the Rfam family "Bacterial small subunit ribosomal RNA", at positions 355 to 896 of the family's 1533-position model. The record is from RNAcentral.